UCAGUUUCCGCCCGUGUGCUUUCAAAAG
RNAcentral lists this non-coding RNA (28 nucleotides) under Mus musculus (house mouse). Lineage: Eukaryota; Metazoa; Chordata; Mammalia; Rodentia; Muridae. The record is from RNAcentral.